RNAcentral lists this ribosomal RNA (492 nucleotides) under uncultured bacterium. RNAcentral's name for it is "partial 16S ribosomal RNA". It matches the Rfam family "Bacterial small subunit ribosomal RNA", at positions 30 to 507 of the family's 1533-position model. The record is from RNAcentral.
AUUGAACGCUGGCGUCAUGCUUUACACAUGCAAGUCGAACGGUAACAGGCCUUCGGGUGCUGACGAGUGGCGAACGGGUGAGUAAUGCAUCGGAACGUACCCAGAGGUGGGGGAUAACGCAGCGAAAGCUGUGCUAAUACCGCAUGUGAUCUGAGGAUGAAAGCGGGGGACCGAGCAGCAAUGUUUUGCCUCGCGCCUUUGGAGCGGCCGAUGUCGGAUUAGCGAGUUGGUGGGGUAAAGGCCUACCAAGGCGACGAUCCGUAGCUGGUCUGAGAGCACGACCAGCCACACUGGGACUUAGACACGGCCCAGACUCCUACGGGAGGCAGCAGUGGGGAAUUUUGGACAAUGGGCGCAAGCCUGAUCCAGCAAUGCCGCGUGCGGGAAGAAGGCCUUCGGGUUGUAAACCGCUUUUGGCAGGAACGAAACGGUGUCCGCUAAUACCGGGCGCUAAUGACGGUACCUGCAGAAUAAGCACCGGCUAACUACGUG